UAGCAUUCUUACUUUCUUUAAAUCAGACCUGGUGAUACUGUGCAGAAGUAAAAGUGUAACUACUGUGAUUAGUAGAACUACUGUGCAUUAGUACAAAUGGAUGUACCAAUCGCAGAUUGGCGCUUUAAAGCUGCUCUCUCUCCAGGGGUUUCCUGGAGACUUUGGUGAAAGAGGACCACCAGGACCAGACGGGGACCCAGGUUUGCUUGGAGCCCGUGGUCCUAAUGGAGUUCUUGGACUUAUUGUAAGUAUAAACUGUCUGUGCCUCUGUUUGCUUCUGUGUACACCAUUUCUAUGUUUGUUUUAUUGGUUUGUGUGCACGGGUGUCAACAUCCAUUUCCACCCAACACUGGCUUUGAAGACCAUAUCUUCAAAGGCAUGGAGAGCCGUUUAAUGUACUGUAAGUCUUUUAAUUUGUUGGAUAUGUUCA
RNAcentral lists this long non-coding RNA (430 nucleotides) under Oncorhynchus kisutch (coho salmon). RNAcentral's name for it is "lncRNA (ENSOKIG00005021667.1)". Lineage: Eukaryota; Metazoa; Chordata; Actinopteri; Salmoniformes; Salmonidae. The record is from RNAcentral.